CAUCGGAGACGCGGGUUACCGUGCAUACGUCACAAGUCUGACUUAACCUCCUCGUUAGCGGGCUUAACAAUGCGCGCGCAACUUAUUAUACAUCGAUAAGUUGAAGUUGUGCGCGUAUCGCAUAAUGAAACCGAAACCGACACGCGCGCAUCUUAGAUUCGAAUUCGUGCCGCAGAAAUGUGCUCGUACCGAUUUUUUAGAAAUCGAGAGACUAAUGAGUCGAUCAUGGCUGCCAUGUAACUAAACCGAGAAGUGUUCUGAACCCAUCAUAACCUACAAAGAAAUCGAAGAUGUUUCAUUUGGAAAUUCAAGACCGUAGACCUUAUAUACGGAUUGACAAUUGCUAUAGUUUCUGCAUAAGAAACAGUGUCCGCGGGAGGUUAGAUAGAGAGAGACAUACUUUUUAGUAUUUCUUUCUCUUAAAAUAUAUUGCGCAUGAGUUCGAAGUAUUUGGCGGAUUAAUAUAAUAAUAUGAUCGAAAAAAAUAUAUAUUGUAGUGAAGAAUGAAAGACUUCAUAAUUGAA
This is a long non-coding RNA of Pogonomyrmex barbatus (red harvester ant), 524 nucleotides long. RefSeq lists it as uncharacterized. The record is from RefSeq and is a predicted model, not a curated record. Lineage: Eukaryota; Metazoa; Arthropoda; Insecta; Hymenoptera; Formicidae.